AUUUAAAUAGCAUAUUUAGAGCAUGACACUGAAGCUGUUAAGGUGAUUUUAUAUCUUUGAAUA
RNAcentral lists this transfer RNA (63 nucleotides) under Platyneuromus soror. RNAcentral describes it as "tRNA-Phe". The record is from RNAcentral. Lineage: Eukaryota; Metazoa; Arthropoda; Insecta; Megaloptera; Corydalidae.